UACCGAGGAUGCGAGCGUUAUCCGGAUUUAUUGGGUUUAAAGGGUGCGCAGUCGGAUUUUUAAGUCAGCGGUCAAAUCGUGGGGCUCAACCCCAUCCAGCCGUUGAAACUGGGGAUCUAGAGUGUGCGAGAGGUAUGCGGAAUGCGUGGUGUAGCGGUGAAAUGCAUAGAUAUCACGCAGAACCCCGAUUGCGAAGGCAGCAUACCGGUGCACAACUGACGCUCAGGCACGAAAGCGUGGGUAUCGAACAGG
RNAcentral lists this ribosomal RNA (252 nucleotides) under uncultured bacterium. RNAcentral's name for it is "partial 16S ribosomal RNA". It matches the Rfam family "Bacterial small subunit ribosomal RNA", at positions 524 to 776 of the family's 1533-position model. The record is from RNAcentral.